AGGCCAUUGUGCACAAUACUGCAGCUAUACCACAAUGGAAAAUGAUACCAAGGAGAUCAUUCAUGUCGCAACCAUAGACAAACGGCAGACAUCCUGGAAUUCUGUCAUCAUGGAGAAGCAGGGUUUUAUCGAGACCAUGGACAAGCAUACAUCAGAGAUCAAGCUAGUGGAGAUCUGCACAGAUGCUCACGCCCAGAUUGGAGCACUUAUGAACCCAGACAAAGUCAGAUACAAGGCUCGUGAAAUUCAUCACAGUCUUGACAUGUGGCAUGGUGCCAAAAACCUGGCCAAAAAAAGCGCUGCAGCAGCAAAGAUAAAAGGACAGUCCCUUCUCCUCAACUGGCUGAAAGACAUCAUAAACCAUUUUUGGUGGUGCUGUAAGACAGCUGACACAACUGAGGAGUUUCUUACACUGUGGACUGGUAUCCUUCAUCAUGUCUGUAACCAUCACAGCUGGGAAUAUGGAAGCUGCCAACAUGACCACCUGGAAGACACUCGUGAAAAGGAGUGAAUCAAGAGGGACUCCAAGUGCCACAAUGCGCUGGUGGACAUCGUUUACAACAAGCGUUUGCAGAAGGAUGUACAUAAAUAUCU
Myripristis murdjan (pinecone soldierfish) is the source of this 594-nucleotide long non-coding RNA. RefSeq lists it as uncharacterized. The transcript is spliced from 4 exons. The record is from RefSeq and is a predicted model, not a curated record. Lineage: Eukaryota; Metazoa; Chordata; Actinopteri; Holocentriformes; Holocentridae.